CCAGAUUCACCCAUCCUGCAGCAGGCUGUGCAUCUGUGGGCUCCCCGGCCCAGGUUGGAGGAUCACUUGAGCUUGUGAGUGGGCCCGUCUCAAUCUCAGGGAACUCCCCUCCCCUUCCUCCCUCCAACAGGAAUCCUCCCAGAGCUGCCUCUGGCCAAGGAUCAACCUGGGACUGACCUGACAGCUCCUGCCCGCACACCAAACACCCGUUCAGGAACCCCACCCUUCAGCCCCUCUAUGUAGGACUGGGCUGGGACCCAGGAUCCAAGCUGCAACCUCUGAACAUCCGGCUCAUCACGUGCCAAAGAUUCUGCAGCUGGAGGCUCCAGCCCCAUAUCCCUCCCACAACGUCCCAGGGCUGGGUUUCUUCCCUCUCCCAUGUCCUUUGCUUGGGCCAGGAAUGUGCUAACGGGGCAGGUUGGGCUCUGCUGUUCUACUCAGGCACCUGUGGACUUUGAGAGGGGAAUAAGU
RNAcentral lists this long non-coding RNA (471 nucleotides) under Marmota monax (woodchuck). Lineage: Eukaryota; Metazoa; Chordata; Mammalia; Rodentia; Sciuridae. The record is from RNAcentral.